UUUUAUUUGAGAGUUUGAUCCUGGCUCAGGAUGAACGCUGGCGGCGUGCCUAACACAUGCAAGUUGAGCGAUUUACUUCGGUAAAGAGCGGCGGACGGGUGAGUAACGCGUGGGUAACCUACCCUGUACACACGGAUAACAUACCGAAAGGUAUGCUAAUACGGGAUAAUAUAUUUGAGAGGCAUCUCUUGAAUAUCAAAGGUGAGCCAGUACAGGAUGGACCCGCGUCUGAUUAGCUAGUUGGUAAGGUAACGGCUUACCAAGGCGACGAUCAGUAGCCGACCUGAGAGGGUGAUCGGCCACAUUGGAACUGAGACACGGUCCAAACUCCUACGGGAGGCAGCAGUGGGGAAUAUUGCACAAUGGGCGAAAGCCUGAUGCAGCAACGCCGCGUGAGUGAUGAAGGCCUUCGGGUCGUAAAACUCUGUCCUCAAGGAAGAUAAUGACGGUACUUGAGGAGGAAGCCCCGGCUAACUACGUGCCAGCAGCCGCGGUAAUACGUAGGGGGCUAGCGUUAUCCGGAUUUACUGGGCGUAAAGGGUGCGUAGGCGGUCUUUCAAGUCAGGAGUGAAAGGCUACGGCUCAACCGUAGUAAGCUCUUGAAACUGGGAGACUUGAGUGCAG
RNAcentral lists this ribosomal RNA (624 nucleotides) under Clostridioides difficile. RNAcentral describes it as "bacterial SSU rRNA". It matches the Rfam family "Bacterial small subunit ribosomal RNA", at positions 1 to 651 of the family's 1533-position model. The record is from RNAcentral. Lineage: Bacteria; Bacillati; Bacillota; Clostridia; Peptostreptococcales; Peptostreptococcaceae.